This 72-nucleotide transfer RNA is filed under the name Salmo salar (Atlantic salmon). It matches the Rfam family "tRNA". Rfam says of the family: Transfer RNA (tRNA) molecules are approximately 80 nucleotides in length. Lineage: Eukaryota; Metazoa; Chordata; Actinopteri; Salmoniformes; Salmonidae. The record is from Rfam by way of RNAcentral.
UCCCGUGUGGCUCAGUUGGUAGAGCAUGGUGCUUGCAACACUCGGGUUGUGGUUUUGAAUCCCACCCGGGAC